UACGUAGGUGGCAAGCGUUAUCCGGAAUUAUUGGGCGUAAAGCGCGCGUAGGCGGUCUCUUAAGUCUGAUGUGAAAGCCCCCGGCUCAACCGGGGAGGGUCAUUGGAAACUGGGAGACUUGAGUGCAGAAGAGGAGAGUGGAAUUCCAUGUGUAGCGGUGAAAUGCGCAGAGAUAUGGAGGAACACCAGUGGCGAAGGCGGCUCUCUGGUCUGUAACUGACGCUGAGGUGCGAAAGCGUGGGGAUCAAAC
Molecule: ribosomal RNA, 250 nt
Filed under: uncultured bacterium
Lineage: Bacteria
Description: partial 16S ribosomal RNA
Rfam family: Bacterial small subunit ribosomal RNA
Source: RNAcentral